GACGAACGCUGGCGGCGUGCUUAACACAUGCAAGUCGAACGGAAAGGCCCUGCUUUUGUGGGGUGCUCGAGUGGCGAACGGGUGAGUAACACGUGAGUAACCUGCCCUUGACUUUGGGAUAACUUCAGGAAACUGGGGCUAAUACCGGAUAGGAGCUCCUGCUGCAUGGUGGGGGUUGGAAAGUUUCGGCGGUUGGGGAUGGACUCGCGGCUUAUCAGCUUGUUGGUGGGGUAGUGGCUUACCAAGGCUUUGACGGGUAGCCGGCCUGAGAGGGUGACCGGCCACAUUGGGACUGAGUUACGGCCCAGCCUCCUACGGGAGGCAGCAGUGGGGAAUAUUGCACAAUGGGCGGAAGCCUGAUGCAGCAACGCCGCGUGCGGGAUGACGGCCUUCGGGUUGUAAACCGCUUUCGCCUGUGACGAAGCGUGAGUGACGGUAAUGGGUAAAGAAGCACCGGCUAACUACGUG
RNAcentral lists this ribosomal RNA (468 nucleotides) under uncultured bacterium. RNAcentral's name for it is "partial 16S ribosomal RNA". It matches the Rfam family "Bacterial small subunit ribosomal RNA", at positions 28 to 507 of the family's 1533-position model. The record is from RNAcentral.